GUUGUAUGGUUAAGUGACUAAGCGUACACGGUGGAUGCCUUGGCAGUCAGAGGCGAUGAARGACGUAGUAACUUGCGAUAAGCCCAGAUUAGGUAGUAACAACCAUUUGAGUCUGGGAUUUCYGAAUGGGGAAACCCACKURCAUAAGYAMGUAUCCUUACCUGAAUACAUAGGGUAAGGAGGCGAACCGGGGGAACUGAAACAUCUAAGUACCCCGAGGAAAAGAAAUCAACCGAGAUUCCGAAAGUAGCGGCGAGCGAAAUUGGACUAGCCCUUAAGCUUUACAYGCGUUAGACGAACGGUCUGGAAAGUCCGACGAUACAGGGUGAUAGUCCCGUAGUUGACGACGUGUGUUCAGUGAAAUCGAGUAGGGCGGGACACGUGAUAUCCUGUCUGAAUAUGGGGGGACCAUCCUCCAAGGCUAAAUACUACUGACUGACCGAUAGUGAACCAGUACCGUGAGGGAAAGGCGAAAAGAACCCCUGUGAGGGGAGUGAAAUAGAACCUGAAACCGUGUACGUACAAGCAGUAGGAGCAGGCUUUGUCCUGUGACUGCGUACCUUUUGUAUAAUGGGUCAGCGACUUAUAUUCAGUGGCAAGGUUAACCAUCUAGGGGAGCCGUAGGGAAACCGAGUCUUAACUGGGCGUUCAGUCUCUGGAUAUAGACCCGAAACCAGGUGAUCUAGCCAUGGGCAGGUUGAAGGUUGAGUAACAUCAACUGGAGGACCGAACCGACUAAUGUUGAAAAAUUAGCGGAUGACUUGUGGCUAGGGGUGAAAGGCCAAUCAAACCUGGAGAUAGCUGGUUCUCCCCGAAAGCUAUUUAGGUAGCGCCUCGGACGAAUACUACUGGGGGUAGAGCACUGUUAAGGCUAGGGGGUCAUCCCGACUUACCAACCCUUUGCAAACUCCGAAUACCAGUAAGUACUAUCCGGGAGACACACGGCGGGUGCUAACGUCCGUCGUGGAGAGGGAAACAACCCAGACCGCCAGCUAAGGUCCCAAAUUACUACUAAGUGGGAAACGAUGUGGGAAGGCUCAGACAGCCAGGAUGUUGGCUUAGAAGCAGCCAUCAUUUAAAGAAAGCGUAAUAGCUCACUGGUCGAGUCGGCCUGCGCGGAAGAUGUAACGGGGCUAAGUAGUAAACCGAAGCUGCGGCAAUGUGCUUUUGCACAUUGGGUAGGGGAGCGUUCUGUAAGCGGUUGAAGGUGUGUGGUAACGCAUGCUGGACGUAUCAGAAGUGCGAAUGCUGACAUGAGUAACGAUAAAGGGGGUGAAAAACCUCCUCGCCGGAAGACCAAGGGUUCCUGUCCAACGUUAAUCGGGGCAGGGUAAGUCGACCCCUAAGGCGAGGCCGAAAGGCGUAGUCGAUGGGAAACGGGUUAAUAUUCCCGUACUUCUUACAAUUGCGAUGGGGGGACGGAGAAGGCUAGGUGGGCCUGGCGACGGUUGUCCAGGUUCAAGUGCGUAGGCUUAAGAGUUAGGUAAAUCCGGCUCUUUUUAAGGCUGAGACACGACGUCGAGCACCUACGGGUGUGAAGUCAUUGAUGCCAUGCUUCCAGGAAAAGCCUCUAAGCUUCAGAUUGUAAGGAAUCGUACCCCAAACCGACACAGGUGGUCGGGUAGAGAAUACCAAGGCGCUUGAGAGAACUCGGGUGAAGGAACUAGGCAAAAUGGUACCGUAACUUCGGGAGAAGGUACGCUCUCGACGGUGAAGUCCCUCGCGGAUGGAGCUAUUGAGAGUCGCAGAUACCAGGUGGCUGCAACUGUUUAUUAAAAACACAGCACUGUGCAAAAUCGUAAGAUGACGUAUACGGUGUGACGCCUGCCCGGUGCCGGAAGGUUAAUUGAUGGGGUUAGACUUCGGUCGAAGCUCUUGAUCGAAGCCCCGGUAAACGGCGGCCGUAACUAUAACGGUCCUAAGGUAGCGAAAUUCCUUGUCGGGUAAGUUCCGACCUGCACGAAUGGCGUAAUGAUGGCCACGCUGUCUCCACCCGAGACUCAGUGAAAUUGAAAUCGCUGUGAAGAUGCAGUGUACCCGCGGCUAGACGGAAAGACCCCGUGAACCUUUACUACAGCUUGGCACUGAACAUUGACCCUACAUGUGUAGGAUAGGUGGGAGGCUUUGAAGCACGUACGCCAGUAUGUGUGGAGCCGUCCUUGAAAUACCACCCUUGUAGUGUUGAUGUUCUAACGUCGRCCCCUAAUCGGGGUUGCGGACAGUGCCUGGUGGGUAGUUUGACUGGGGCGGUCUCCUCCCAAAGAGUAACGGAGGAGCACGAAGGUGGGCUAAUCACGGUUGGACAUCGUGAGGUUAGUGCAAUGGCAUAAGCCCGCUUGACUGCGAGAAUGACAAUUCGAGCAGGUGCGAAAGCAGGUCAUAGUGAUCCGGUGGUUCUGAAUGGAAGGGCCAUCGCUCAACGGAUAAAAGGUACUCCGGGGAUAACAGGCUGAUACCGCCCAAGAGUUCAUAUCGACGGCGGUGUUUGGCACCUCGAUGUCGGCUCAUCACAUCCUGGGGCUGAAGUCGGUCCCAAGGGUAUGGCUGUUCGCCAUUUAAAGUGGUACGCGAGCUGGGUUUAGAACGUCGUGAGACAGUUCGGUCCCUAUCUGCCGUGGGCGUUGGAAGAUUGAAGGGGGCUGCUCCUAGUACGAGAGGACCGGAGUGGACGAACCUCUGGUGUUCGGGUUGUGUCGCCAGACGCAUUGCCCGGUAGCUAAGUUCGGAAUCGAUAACCGCUGAAAGCAUCUAAGCGGGAAGCGAGCCYUGAGAUGAGUCUUCCCUGAUACUUUAAGUAUCCUAAAGGGUUGUCGGAGACUACGACGUUGAUAGGUCAGGUGUGUAAGUGCUGUGAGGCAUUGAGCUAACUGAUACUAAUUGCCCGUGAGGCUUAACCAUACAACACCCAAGGGGUUU
RNAcentral lists this ribosomal RNA (2916 nucleotides) under Vibrio parahaemolyticus. RNAcentral describes it as "bacterial LSU rRNA". It matches the Rfam family "Bacterial large subunit ribosomal RNA". Lineage: Bacteria; Pseudomonadati; Pseudomonadota; Gammaproteobacteria; Vibrionales; Vibrionaceae. The record is from RNAcentral.